This 434-nucleotide ribosomal RNA is filed under the name uncultured bacterium. Its description in RNAcentral is "bacterial SSU rRNA". It matches the Rfam family "Bacterial small subunit ribosomal RNA", at positions 30 to 457 of the family's 1533-position model. The record is from RNAcentral.
AUUGAACGCUGGCGGCAGGCCUAACACAUGCAAGUCGAACGGUAACAGGAAACAGCUUGCUGUUUCGCUGACGAGUGGCGGACGGGUGAGUAAUGUCUGGGAAACUGCCUGAUGGAGGGGGGAUAACUACUGGAAACGGUAGCUAAUACCGCAUAACGUCGCAAGACCAAAGAGGGGGACCCUCGGGCCUCUUGCCAUCGGAUGUGCCCAGAUGGGAUUAGCUUGUUGGUGGGGUAACGGCUCACCAAGGCGACGAUCCCUAGCUGGUCUGAGAGGAUGACCAGCCACACUGGAACUGAGACACGGUCCAGACUCCUACGGGAGGCAGCAGUGGGGGAAUAUUGGCACAAUGGGCGCAAGCCUGAUGCAGCCAUGCCGCGUGUAUGAAGAAGGCCUUCGGUUGUAAGUACUUUCAGUCGGGGAGGAAGGGAGGU